This 241-nucleotide ribosomal RNA is filed under the name uncultured Pelotomaculum sp. RNAcentral's name for it is "partial 16S ribosomal RNA". It matches the Rfam family "Bacterial small subunit ribosomal RNA", at positions 1142 to 1382 of the family's 1533-position model. Lineage: Bacteria; Bacillati; Bacillota; Clostridia; Eubacteriales; Desulfotomaculaceae. The record is from RNAcentral.
AGACGAACUGCCGUUGACAAAACGGAGGAGGUGGGGAUGACGUCAAAUCAUCAUGCCCCUUAUGUUCUGGGGCUACACACGUGCUACAAUGGCCGGUACAGACGGAGGCGAAGCCGCGAGGCGGAGCAAAUCCGAAAAAGCCGGUCUCAGUUCGGAUUGCAGGCUGCAAUUCGCCUGCAUGAAGUCGGAAUCGCUAGUAAUCGCAGGUCAGCAUACUGCGGUGAAUACGUUCCCGGGCCUU